RNAcentral lists this ribosomal RNA (211 nucleotides) under Apterostigma pilosum. Its description in RNAcentral is "partial large subunit ribosomal RNA". The record is from RNAcentral. Lineage: Eukaryota; Metazoa; Arthropoda; Insecta; Hymenoptera; Formicidae.
GAAUUUUAUAUAAAAAUAUUUUAGAUUAGUUUAGUUUAAAUAUUUAGUAUUUAGUUGGGAGGAUUAUUAAAUUUAAAAAACUUUAAUAUUUAAUUACAUAGAUUAAUGAAUUAUAUAAAUAAAGAUUGAUUUAAAAAUGUAUAAAGAGUAAAUUACCUUAGGGAUAACAGCGUAAUAUUUUUAGAGAGAUCAUAUUAAUAAAAAUUAUUGC